UGGGGAAUAUUGGACAAUGGGCGAAAGCCUGAUCCAGCCAUGCCGCGUGUGUGAAGAAGGUCUUCGGAUUGUAAAGCACUUUAAGUUGGGAGGAAGGGCAGUAAGCGAAUACCUUGCUGUUUUGACGUUACCGACAGAAUAAGCACCGGCUAACUCUGUGCCAGCAGCCGCGGUAAUACAGAGGGUGCAAGCGUUAAUCGGAAUUACUGGGCGUAAAGCGCGCGUAGGUGGUUCGUUAAGUUGAAUGUGAAAGCCCCGGGCUCAACCUGGGAACUGCAUCCCAAACUGGCGAGCUAGAGUAGGGCAGAGGGUGGUGGAAUUUCCUGUGUAGCGGUGAAAUGCGUAGAUAUAGGAAGGAACACCAGUGGCGAAGGCGACCAUCUGGGCUCAUACUGACACUGAGGUGCGAAAGCGUGGGGAGCAAACAGG
This 429-nucleotide ribosomal RNA is filed under the name Pseudomonadota bacterium. RNAcentral describes it as "Proteobacteria bacterium partial 16S ribosomal RNA". It matches the Rfam family "Bacterial small subunit ribosomal RNA", at positions 355 to 776 of the family's 1533-position model. Lineage: Bacteria; Pseudomonadati; Pseudomonadota. The record is from RNAcentral.